This is a long non-coding RNA of Oreochromis aureus, 480 nucleotides long. The record is from Ensembl. NCBI's taxonomy places the organism in Eukaryota, Metazoa, Chordata, Actinopteri, Cichliformes, Cichlidae.
CUUGAUAAACUGAAAGAAGAUCUGAGACAAGACCGAGAAGAUCUGGAGAGAGAAAGUGAGGUGCUGAAUAAAGAGAAAAUGGAUUUGAAGCUGUUGAUGUCUGACAUGAAGAAACAAUUUGAAAUAUUGGAAGAAAAGAGACAAAAUGUAAAAGAAGAGAGAGACUCAAUGGAAAUCCUGAAGCUUGAACUGCUCAAUAAGAUGGAACAUGUAAAAAGGCUGUUAAAUGAGGCAAAUAAAGAAAAAGCCAAUAUUAAAGUUUGUAUCCUUCAGGUUCAAAUGGAAAAAGAAAGACUUGAAGACAUUUUAAGCAAGAUUUUCUUAACACAUAGUGAACAAAAAUCAAGGAAGAUGACCUCAGAAGACAAACAAAAGAACUGGAAAUGAUGAAGAAGCAAUCACAGAGUGAAAGAGAAAAAGUGGAGAGUCUGAUGAGGAAUCUCAACAAGAAGCAAGAAGAGCUUGAACGUGCAAAGGAAA